UACGGGGGGGGCAAGCGUUGUUCGGAAUUACUGGGCGUAAAGGGCGCGUAGGCGGCCUGCUAAGUCACACGUGAAAUCCCUCGGCUCAACCGGGGAACUGCGUGUGAUACUGAAAGGCUUGAAUCCGGGAGAGGGAUGCGGAAUUCCAGGUGUAGCGGUGAAAUGCGUAGAUAUCUGGAGGAACACCGGUGGCGAAGGCGGCAUCCUGGACCGGUAUUGACGCUGAGGCGCGAAAGCCAGGGGAGCAAACGGG
This 253-nucleotide ribosomal RNA is filed under the name uncultured bacterium. Its description in RNAcentral is "partial 16S ribosomal RNA". It matches the Rfam family "Bacterial small subunit ribosomal RNA", at positions 524 to 776 of the family's 1533-position model. The record is from RNAcentral.